Molecule: transfer RNA, 85 nt
Filed under: Felis catus (domestic cat)
Lineage: Eukaryota; Metazoa; Chordata; Mammalia; Carnivora; Felidae
Rfam family: tRNA
About the family: Transfer RNA (tRNA) molecules are approximately 80 nucleotides in length. Their secondary structure includes four short double-helical elements and three loops (D, anti-codon, and T loops). Further hydrogen bonds mediate the characteristic L-shaped molecular structure. tRNAs have two regions of fundamental functional importance: the anti-codon, which is responsible for specific mRNA codon recognition, and the 3' end, to which the tRNAs corresponding amino acid is attached (by aminoacyl-tRNA synthetases). tRNAs cope with the degeneracy of the genetic code in two manners: having more than one tRNA (with a specific anti-codon) for a particular amino acid; and 'wobble' base-pairing, i.e. permitting non-standard base-pairing at the 3rd anti-codon position.
Source: Rfam by way of RNAcentral
ACCUGGAUGGCUCAGUCGGUUAGGCAUCUGACUUCGGCUCAGGUCAUGAUCUCAUGGCUUGUGGGUUCGAACCCCACAUCAGGCU